CCUACGGGAGGCAGCAGUGGGGAAUAUUGGACAAUGGGGGAAACCCUGAUCCAGCGACGCCGCGUGAGUGAAGAAGUAUUUCGGUACGUAAAGCUCUAUCAGCAGGAAAGAAAAUGACGGUACCUGACUAAGAAGCCCCGGCUAACUACGUGCCAGCAGCCGCGGUAAUACGUAGGGGGCCAGCGUUAUCCGGAUUUACUGGGUGGAAAGGGAGCGUAGACGGCAGCGCAAGUCUGGAGUGAAAUGCCGGGGCCCAACCCCGGAACUGCACUGGAAACUGUGAAGCUGGAGUGCAGGAGAGGUAAGCGGAAUUCCUGGUGUAGCGGUGAAAUGCGUAGAUAUCAGGAGGAACACCGGCGGCGAAGGCGGCUUACUGGACUGUAACUGACGUUGAGGCUCGAAGGCGUGGGGAGCAAACAGGAUUAGAUACCCGAGUAGUC
RNAcentral lists this ribosomal RNA (440 nucleotides) under uncultured bacterium. RNAcentral describes it as "partial 16S ribosomal RNA". It matches the Rfam family "Bacterial small subunit ribosomal RNA", at positions 338 to 795 of the family's 1533-position model. The record is from RNAcentral.